GACGAACGCUGGCGGCGUGCUUAACACAUGCAAGUCGAACGGUAAGGCCCUUCGGGGUACACGAGUGGUGAACGGGUGAGUAACACGUGGGUGAUCUGCCCUGCACUUCGGGAUAAGCCUGGGAAACUGGGUCUAAUACCGGAUAGGACCACUGCCUGCAUGGGUGGUGGUGGAAAGCUUUUGCGGUGUGGGAUGGGCCCGCGGCCUAUCAGCUUGUUGGGGGGGUGAUGGCCUACCAAGGCGACGACGGGUAGCCGGCCUGAGAGGGUGACCGGCCACACUGGGACUGGGAAGCGGCCCAGAGUCCUACGGGAGGCAGCGGUGGGGGAUAUUGCACAAUGGGCGCAAGCCUGAUGCAGCGACGCCGGGUGAGGGAUGACGGCCUUCGGGUUGUAAACCUCUUUCAGCACCGACGAAGCGCAAGUGACGGUAGGUGCAGAAGAAGGACCGGCCAACUACGUGCCAGCCGCCGCCGUAA
Molecule: ribosomal RNA, 478 nt
Filed under: uncultured bacterium
Lineage: Bacteria
Description: partial 16S ribosomal RNA
Rfam family: Bacterial small subunit ribosomal RNA
Source: RNAcentral